CUGGAGGAAGCCCCGGCUAAACUCCGUGCCAGCAGCCGCGGUAAUACGGGGGGGGCAAGCGUUGUUCGGAAUUACUGGGCGUAAAGGGCGCGCAGGCGGCUUCGGAAGUUAUGGGUGAAAGCCCCCGGCUCAACUGGGGAAUGGCCUGUAAAACCACGGAGCUGGAGUGCUGGAGAGGGAAGUGGAAUUCCCAGUGUAGCGGUGAAAUGCGUAGAUAUUGGGAGGAACACCAGUGGCGAAGGCGGCUUCCUGGACAGACACUGACGCUGAGGCGCGAAAGCCAGGGGAGCGAACGGGAUUAGAUACCCCGGUAGUCCUGGCUGUAAACGAUGAAUACUUGGUGUGGGGGGUAUAGAAGUCCCUCUGUGCCGAAGAGAACUCGAUAAGUAUUCCGCCUGGGGAGUACGGCCGCAAGGCUGAAACUCAAAGGAAUUGACGGGGGCCCGCACAAGCGGUGGAGCAUGUGGUUUAAUUCGACGCAACGCGAAGAACCUUACCGGGGUUUGAACUGUAUUGGCGACCGGUCGAGAUACCGGGUUUCCUUAGGGAACUGAUACAGAGGUGCUGCAUGGCUGUCGUCAGCUCGUGUCGUGAGAUGUUGGGUUAAGUCCCGCAACGAGCGCAACCCUUGUCUGUAGUUGCCAUCAGGUGAAGCUGGGCACUCUACGGAGACUGUCGGCGAAAAGCCGGAGGAAGGUGGGGAUGACGUCAAGUCCUCAUGGCCUUUAUGUCCCGGGCUACACACGUGCUACAAUGGAUGGAACAGAGGGCAGCGAACUCGCGAGGGUAAGCGAAUCCCAGAAAUCCAUUCUCAGUUCGGAUUGCAGUCUGCAACUCGACUGCAUGAAGUUGGAAUCGCUAGUAAUCGCGGAUCAGAACGCCGCGGUGAAUACGUUCCCGGGCCUUGUACACACCGCCCGUCACAUCACGAAAGUGGGCUGUACUAGAAGCCGCCGGCCUAACCAUUUAUUGGAGGGAGGCGUCGACGG
This 989-nucleotide ribosomal RNA is filed under the name uncultured Acidobacteriota bacterium. RNAcentral's name for it is "bacterial SSU rRNA". It matches the Rfam family "Bacterial small subunit ribosomal RNA", at positions 481 to 1462 of the family's 1533-position model. Lineage: Bacteria; Pseudomonadati; Acidobacteriota. The record is from RNAcentral.